Molecule: ribosomal RNA, 810 nt
Filed under: Trichophyton vanbreuseghemii
Lineage: Eukaryota; Fungi; Ascomycota; Eurotiomycetes; Onygenales; Arthrodermataceae
Description: LSU rRNA
Rfam family: Eukaryotic large subunit ribosomal RNA
Source: RNAcentral
AACGGCGAGUGAAGCGGCAAGAGCUCAAAUUUGAAAUCUGGCCUCCCCCGGGGGCCCGAGUUGUAAUUUGCAGAGGAUGCUUCGGGUGCGGCCGCCGUCUAAGUUCCUUGGAACAGGACGUCAGAGAGGGUGAGAAUCCCGUCUUGGGCGGGCGGUCCGCGCCCGUGUGAAGCUCCUUCGACGAGUCGAGUUGUUUGGGAAUGCAGCUCUAAGCGGGUGGUAAAUUUCAUCUAAAGCUAAAUAUUGGCCGGAGACCGAUAGCGCACAAGUAGAGUGAUCGAAAGGUUAAAAGCACCUUGAAAAGGGAGUUAAACAGCACGUGAAAUUGUUGAAAGGGAAGCGCUUGCGGCCAGACUCGGGGGCGGGGUUCAGCGGGUGCUCGUCGCCCGUGUAUUCCUCGUCUCCCGGGCCAGCAUCAGUUUCGACGGCCGGUCAAAGGCCCCCGGAAUGUGUCGUCUCUCGGGACGUCUUAUAGCCGGGGGUGCAAUGCGGCCCGUCGGGACUGAGGAACGCGCUCCGGCUCGGAUGCUGGCGUAAUGGCCGUAAGCGGCCCGUCUUGAAACACGGACCAAGGAGUCUAACAUCCACGCGAGUGUUCGGGUGUCAAACCCGUGCGCGCAGUGAAAGCGAACGGAGGUGGGAGCCUUAGGGCGCACCAUCGACCGAUCCUGAAGUCUUCGGAUGGAUUUGAGUAGGAGCGUGGCCGUUGGGACCCGAAAGAUGGUGAACUAUGCCUGAAUAGGGUGAAGCCAGAGGAAACUCUGGUGGAGGCUCGCAGCGGUUCUGACGUKCAAAUCGAUCGUCAAACCU